CCCUAUGGGGUGCAGCAGGCGCGAAAACUUCACACUGCGGGAAACCGCGAUGAGGGAAUUCCAAGUGUCUGGGGUAAGACCCAGUCUUUUCUUGACUCUUAAUAGGUCUUGGAAUAAGGGGGGGGUAAGACCGGUGCCAGCCGCCGCGGUAAUACCGGCCCCCCAAGUGGUCGUCACUUUUAUUGGGCCUAAAACGUCCGUAGCCGGUUUAGUAAACCCGUGGGUAAAUCAACCAGCUUAACUGGUUGAAUUCUGCGGAGACUGCUAGACUAGGGACCGGGAGAGGUACGAGGUACUCUUGGGGUAGGGGUAAAAUCCUGUCAUCCCAGGGGGACCACUUGUUGCGAAGGCGUCGUACUAGAACGGAUCCGACGGUCAGGGACGAAGCCUAGGGGCACGAACCGGAUUAGAUACCCGGGUAGUCCUAGGUGCAAACGCUGUGGACUUGGUGUUGGGGAUUCCAUGAGGGUUCCCAGUGCCGAAGCGAAGGUGUUAAGUCCACUGCCUGGGGAGUACGGUCGCAAGGCUGAAACUUAAAGGAAUUGGCGGGGGAGCACUGCAACGAGAGGAGCGUGCGGUUUAAUUGGAUUCAACGCCGGAAAACUCACCAGGGCCGACGGACAAAUGAAGGUCAAGUUGACGACUUUACCGGAUUGUUCGA
This 661-nucleotide ribosomal RNA is filed under the name uncultured Candidatus Poseidoniales archaeon. RNAcentral's name for it is "bacterial SSU rRNA". It matches the Rfam family "Archaeal small subunit ribosomal RNA", at positions 321 to 983 of the family's 1478-position model. The record is from RNAcentral. Lineage: Archaea; Methanobacteriati; Thermoplasmatota; Candidatus Poseidoniia; Candidatus Poseidoniales.